This 170-nucleotide non-coding RNA is filed under the name Parvicella tangerina. Lineage: Bacteria; Pseudomonadati; Bacteroidota; Flavobacteriia; Flavobacteriales; Parvicellaceae. The record is from RNAcentral.
UUAGUUGUGAAGCUAGGACUGAAGGAAGCAGGACUACAAAAGUCGGUACUGACGAACAGGAAUCGCAUACAGAGGCAUAGCCAAUUUGGGUAAGCAAGCACAUCAUUGUAACGCCCACAAGAAAAGAUUGGUUAUGUAGAUGCGGCAGUUAUUGACGGGAAGAAAAAGCU